UAAACCAAUUUUAUUAAAAUAUAAAAUACUAAUGAUAUUUCUUAAUAAGAUCCUAUUGCAACACAUGGUCCUGUAAAUACUUCCAGAUCGAUAUAUGUGGCAAAAUAAGUAUGAACGAACUACUGAAAUCAUCCUAUGGUACGUACAGCAUAUGGUACUAACCUGCAUCUACUUCACACAGACACAGGAACACAAGAGUUCUAUACAAAUGUUGUACGUAACCAGGAAUAACACGAGAGUUUAAUUUGCACGUACCUUAAUUUAUCUUUGAGGAUCAGAGCAAGUAGGCCAACAAAGCACAAAGAUUAUAGCUUUUCUUUGUCAAACAUGAGACGCACGUAUGUGCCAACAUACAAUCAUUGAGAUUUCGUGAUGCACGCACU
RNAcentral lists this long non-coding RNA (383 nucleotides) under Oryza brachyantha (malo sina). Its description in RNAcentral is "long non-coding RNA (OBRA_LNC002028)". The record is from RNAcentral. Lineage: Eukaryota; Viridiplantae; Streptophyta; Magnoliopsida; Poales; Poaceae.